CGCUCCAUCUUGCUGCCACAUGUUCGGUCAACCUCCAGCAGCAUCCACCGAAAUCAACUUUGGCCGUGUCUUCCGCUCAUGAAGCCAGCGAAGCCCUACAACGAAGCCAGUCCACGUUCCUCUCCAUCUUCGCUGCUUCUCUCGGUCAAAACCCCAACGAAGACUUCAGCUGCUCGAAGGCCCACCGAAUUGGCGCCCUCUCACGCUGCCACUUCAUCCGCCAAAGCAGCCCAAGAAACCAGCCCGUCUUCAACUCAAGUGCAGCCCAGCUCCAUCAACGUCUUGGCCCAAUUCCCAGCUGUGGCCGUAGGUUCAGCCCACGAAACCAACAGCUCCAUUGAAGUCGACAACUCAGCCAAGCUUUGGCCCAACAGAUGGCCCAAUUCCAGCCCACUUGAAGCC
This 402-nucleotide long non-coding RNA is filed under the name Eucalyptus grandis. RNAcentral describes it as "long non-coding RNA (EGRA_LNC000113)". Lineage: Eukaryota; Viridiplantae; Streptophyta; Magnoliopsida; Myrtales; Myrtaceae. The record is from RNAcentral.